Molecule: ribosomal RNA, 371 nt
Filed under: uncultured bacterium
Lineage: Bacteria
Description: bacterial SSU rRNA
Rfam family: Bacterial small subunit ribosomal RNA
Source: RNAcentral
GUAGGUGACAAGCGUUGUCCGGAUUUACUGGGCGUAAAGAGCGCGCAGGCGGUCGUUCAAGUCGAGUGUGAAAGCCCCCGGCUCAACUGGGGAGGGUCAUUCGAUACUGAUCGACUCGAAGGCAGGAGAGGGUAGUGGAAUUCCCGGUGUAGUGGUGAAAUGCGUAGAUAUCGGGAGGAACACCAGUGGCGAAGGCGACUACCUGGCCUGUUCUUGACGCUGAGGCGCGAAAGCUAGGGGAGCCAACGGGAUUAGAUACCCCGGUAGUCCUAGCCGUAAACGAUGGACACUAGGUGUUGGUGGUAUCAACCCCGCCAGUGCCGAAGCUAACGCAUUAAGUGUCCCGCCUGGGGAGUACGGCCGCAAGGCUA